Molecule: ribosomal RNA, 798 nt
Filed under: uncultured bacterium
Lineage: Bacteria
Description: bacterial SSU rRNA
Rfam family: Bacterial small subunit ribosomal RNA
Source: RNAcentral
ACACAUGCAAGUCGAACGAGCAAAUACAUUUGAUUUCUUCGGAAUGAAGAUGUAGGCGCGAGUGGCGGACGGGUGAGUAACGCGUGAGUAAUCUGCCUCAUACAGGAGAAUAACACUAAGAAAUUGGUGCUAAUACUCCAUAAGCUCACAUUAUGACAUCAUAGAGUGAGAAAAGAUUUAUCGGUAUGAGAGGAGCUCGCGUCUGAUUAGCUAGUUGGUGGGGUAACGGCCUACCAAGGCGACGAUCAGUAGCCGACCUGAGAGGGUGAUCGGCCACAUUGGAACUGAGACACGGUCCAAACUCCUACGGGAGGCAGCAGUGGGGAAUAUUGCACAAUGGGGGAAACCCUGAUGCAGCAACGCCGCGUGAAGGAAGAAGUAUUUCGGUAUGUAAACUUCUAUCGACAGGGAAGAAACAAAUGACGGUACCUGAAUAAGAAGCACCGGCUAAAUACGUGCCAGCAGCCGCGGUAAUACGUAUGGUGCAAGCGUUAUCCGGAUUUACUGGGUGUAAAGGGUGAGUAGGCGGUCAUGCAAGUCAUAUGUGAAAUGUCAGGGCUUAACCUUGGCGCUGCAUAAGAAACUGUAUGACUAGAGUGCAGGAGAGGUAAGCGGAAUUCCUAGUGUAGCGGUGAAAUGCGUAGAUAUUAGGAAGAACACCGGUGGCGAAGGCGGCUUACUGGACUGUUACUGACGCUGAGUCACGAAAGCGUGGGGAGCAAACAGGAUUAGAUACCCUGGUAGUCCACGCCGUAAACGAUGAGUGCUAGGUGUUGGCCCGAGAUGGUCGGUGCCGCA